GACGAACCGUGCGACCGUUAUUCGGAAUCACUGGGCUUAAAGGGCGCGUAGGCGGGUUGCCAAGUCGGAGGUGAAAUCCUGCAGCUCAACUGCAGAAGUGCCCCCGAUACUGGCAGUCUCGAGUGAGGUAGGGGCAUGUGGAACUUCCGGUGGAGCGGUGAAAUGCGUAGAUAUCGGAAGGAACGCCGGUGGCGAAAGCGACGUGCUGGACCUCAACUGACGCUGAGGCGCGAAAGCCAGGGGAGCGAACGGG
This 253-nucleotide ribosomal RNA is filed under the name uncultured bacterium. Its description in RNAcentral is "partial 16S ribosomal RNA". It matches the Rfam family "Bacterial small subunit ribosomal RNA", at positions 524 to 776 of the family's 1533-position model. The record is from RNAcentral.